GUAAAGAAGAUUCCAGCUCUCUCAUUCAGAGCUUGCAGGGAAAGUGAGCUUCUCAGCCAAAAAAGAAGUCUUAGAGUCUUCUCUCACAAUAUUUAUUACCCAGAUAACAUGUUUGAGUUCCUCAGAGAAGACAUACAGAGAGACCUAACAUCCUUCCUAGAAUAACUGUGGUAUUAAAAUGGAGUCUCAUCUAGAACUGGGCCAAAGGAAAUUAAAUGCAACAUUAAGCCUUGGGGGAGAAAGGCUCAAAGGAAGCCUGUCCUGCAGAAGACAUGGAGACCCUACUUUUACUGAAGAUACUGGAAGAGGAAGAUAAUUCAAGGUGCACAGAUGGUUGGCCUGAAUAUUUUACUUUGCUCUCCCGCCUCCCCCUUCUUUGAAUAAAGGAAUUUUGAAGGCUCCAAAUAUUUCAGCUUGGAAGAAACAUGCCUGAAUUUGUAGCAGUACAAAAGUACCCAAGCAACCUUCAUAUUUAUUGAAGGCUUAUGUGAAGCUAUUUCUCAGUAUAU
Molecule: long non-coding RNA, 509 nt
Organism: Chelonia mydas (Green sea turtle)
Lineage: Eukaryota; Metazoa; Chordata; Testudines; Cheloniidae
Exons: 3
Source: RefSeq, a predicted model, not a curated record